CCUACGGGAGGCUGCAGUGGGGAAUAUUGGACAAUGGGCGAAAGCCUGAUCCAGCCAUGCCGCGUGUGUGAAGAAGGCCUUCGGGUUGUAAAGCACUUUCAGUGGGGAAGAAAGCCUUGGGGCUAAUACCCUCGAGGAAGGACAUCACCCACAGAAGAAGCACCGGCUAACUCCGUGCCAGCAGCCGCGGUAAUAAGGAGGGUGCGAGCGUUAAUCGGAAUUACUGGGCGUAAAGCGCGCGUAGGCGGUCUGAUAAGCCGGUUGUGAAAGCCCCGGGCUCAACCUGGGAACGGCAUCCGGAACUGUCAGGCUAGAGGGCAGGAGAGGAAGGUAGAAUUCCCGGUGUAGCGGUGAAAUGCGUAGAGAUCGGGAGGAAUACCAGUGGCGAAGGCGGCCUUCUGGACUGACACUGACGCUGAGGUGCGAAAGCGUGGGUAGCAAACAGGAUUAGAUACCCGUGUAGUC
RNAcentral lists this ribosomal RNA (465 nucleotides) under Vreelandella stevensii. Its description in RNAcentral is "partial 16S ribosomal RNA". It matches the Rfam family "Bacterial small subunit ribosomal RNA", at positions 338 to 795 of the family's 1533-position model. Lineage: Bacteria; Pseudomonadati; Pseudomonadota; Gammaproteobacteria; Oceanospirillales; Halomonadaceae. The record is from RNAcentral.